Molecule: ribosomal RNA, 483 nt
Filed under: uncultured bacterium
Lineage: Bacteria
Description: bacterial SSU rRNA
Rfam family: Bacterial small subunit ribosomal RNA
Source: RNAcentral
AUUGAACGCUGGCGGCAUGCCUUACACAUGCAAGUCGAACGGCAGCACGGGAGCAAUCCUGGUGGCGAGUGGCGAACGGUGAGUAAUAUAUCGGAACGUGCCCAGUCGUGGGGGAUAACGUAGCGAAAGCUACGCUAAUACCGCAUACGAUCUAUGGAUGAAAGCGGGGGAUCGCAAGACCUCGCGCGAUUGGAGCGGCCGAUAUCAGAUUAGGUAGUUGGUGAGGUAAAGGCUCACCAAGCCGACGAUCUGUAGCUGGUCUGAGAGGACGACCAGCCACACUGGGACUGAGACACGGCCCAGACUCCUACGGGAGGCAGCAGUGGGGAAUUUUGGACAAUGGGCGCAAGCCUGAUCCAGCAAUGCCGCGUGCAGGAUGAAGGCCUUCGGGUUGUAAACUGCUUUUGUACGGAACGAAACGGUAAGCUCUAAUACAGUUUGCUAAUGACGGUACCGUAAGAAUAAGCACCGGCUAACUACGUG